RNAcentral lists this transfer RNA (91 nucleotides) under Pseudoramibacter sp. Its description in RNAcentral is "tRNA-Ser". It matches the Rfam family "tRNA". From Rfam's summary of the family: Transfer RNA (tRNA) molecules are approximately 80 nucleotides in length. Their secondary structure includes four short double-helical elements and three loops (D, anti-codon, and T loops). The record is from RNAcentral. Lineage: Bacteria; Bacillati; Bacillota; Clostridia; Eubacteriales; Eubacteriaceae. RNAcentral also lists the same sequence under 1 other name.
GGAGAAGUAUCGAAGAGGUCAUAACGAGCCGCACUCGAAAUGCGGUUGUCCAUUUUUGGGCACGUGGGUUCGAAUCCCACCUUCUCCGCCA